AUUUUUUUUGGGACAUGUGAAAAGUUAUAUGAAUCGUAUAUGUAAAGUUAAACACAACCCGUGAAGGGCCCUGGAGCCAAAUCAAAGUGGAAGCCCUCCAAACGAAUAUUUUUAAGAAAACGUUUUCGGAUGACCUGACUUGGAGGGGCAAAAACGGCAUUAUAAGUUUAGAAUUUGGGAAAAUGCCCAGAGAUAAAAGUUGUAGAUAAUUGAAAUAGCUUUCCAACGGUAGGUCGUGGGCUCCCAGGCGACGUCGGUACAAGGAGAUAUGGACAUUUUAAGGCGGAAAGGUCAAGCUGGGCAGUGAAAUGGGCCCAACCCGAUUCCAAUCCGGGUCAGGCCCAUUUCCUUAUUAUUUAAGGGAGUUUUCAGCCUCCUCCUCCACAUUUCAGAUCAGAAAAGAUCCAAAAAAUUCCAUUAGAGAGAGAGAGAGAAAACUUCAAGGCUAAGAAGAUCAUUUUGAUCAAAAUCCGAGCUCCGAAUCCCGAAGCUCAUGAAGAGAAAAACGUUGUACGUUGCGUUGCCUUCAAUUUGAGAUAAAUAUUAGUCUUGGGGGAUGAAAUUUUCGUGGUGGAUCUUCUGAUAAGAUUUUGGACGAGAUUGGGAUCGACGCCAAGCGAGCGUAAGGCGCUAUCGAGGUACAGGCGCACUCGGUGACACGCCGCCAGUCUAGGGCACAGGUUCUGCUAUCUUGAAGAGCUCCUUUUGAUUCGGAGCAUGUACUUUGGUAUAUAUAUCUUUUGUUUUCCGUAUGUUCUGUAUGUAUGGAAGUUCUGGGUACGGCGGGGCCCUGUCCCGUCAUAUGAUUCUGUAUGUCUGUAGAGGCCUGUAGAUAGAUGUGUGGGUUACGGGUUUCGUCUGUAUGUUAGCCUUAUCGGCUUAUCUGUAAAUGUCUGCAUGUUCAGGUAUAUAUAUAUGUUUGCGCGCGUGCCGUAUCUGUAUCGGCCUACUUCUGUAAUAUCCGUUUGAAAAAAAAAAAUCUGUACGAUACGAAAUUCGGUCAGGUAGGUAUGUACGGGUACCCAGCUAGGGUGCCAGUCGCGGCCCACGGGGUUGGGUCGUGACAGAAGUGGUAUCAGAGCGGUUAGUCCUCGGAAUGUCUACAGGCCGUGUCUAGUAGAGUCUUGUUUAUCGAUGUGUUGUGCACCAUAUCUAUAAACAGGAAGCUACAGGGCAUCUAGGAUGUUACCCUUCUUUGAAUCUUAGAUCAUGCGAUAGAGCCAGCUGUAGGAUAUGAAUUCCUUUCGACUAACUUUUAAUUUCAGCCAAAGGACGGCAUCGACAGAAGGCAAUGGCUGAUGAUAUUGGAGGCCGCACAGUACUCAGGUAAGCAAUAAUAUGAAAGCUGUGUGUCGGAGAAGUUGUUUGAUGUGUGGUAGAAAUAUAAAGCUGAAGAUUGAACAGAAAAGUGAACAGGAAGGAGCCUCCGAUGUUGUUCGAGUUGGGCAUGUGAGGUAAGCCUCGACAUCUGUAUAAUUUUAUCUGUAAUUGUUAGCCCCGUGUGGCUACGAGACGACAUGAUAUGAUGUAUAUAUAUAUGCGUAUAUGUGUUGGCCCUGUGAGGCAUGGUUGGUAUUUCUUGUGUACAGGUUUCGGAUAGUAAGAAAUACAGAGAAACCUCUGCCCAAAUUUUUUUCCAGAGAUAUGGAAGUAAAUAUAUAUAAAGUAAGUACAAACAGGUUCCGCGAUACUUGUCGGAAUUUAGUUUUCUUCUG
Long non-coding RNA from Lycium barbarum (goji berry), 1715 nucleotides. RefSeq lists it as uncharacterized. The record is from RefSeq and is a predicted model, not a curated record. NCBI's taxonomy places the organism in Eukaryota, Viridiplantae, Streptophyta, Magnoliopsida, Solanales, Solanaceae. The transcript has 3 exons.